GAUGAACGCUAGCUACAGGCUUAACACAUGCAAGUCGAGGGGAAACGACAUCGAAAGCUUGCUUUUGAUGGGCGUCGACCGGCGCACGGGUGAGUAACGCGUAUCCAACCUGCCCACCACUUGGGGGAUAACCUUGCGAAAGUAAGACUAAUACCCGAUGAUAUCCCUAGAAGACAUCUGAAAGGGAUUAAAGAUUUAUCGGUGAUGGAUGGGGAUGCGUCUGAUUAGCUUGUUGGCGGGGUAACGGCCCACCAAGGCAACGAUCAGUAGGGGUUCUGAGAGGAAGGUCCCCCACAUUGGGACUGAGAUACGGCCCAGACUCCUACGGGAGGCAGCAGUGGGGAAUAUUGCACAAAGGGGGGAACCCUGAUGCAGCGACGCCGCGUGGAGGAAGAAGGUCUUCGGAUUGUAAACUCCUGUUGUUAGGGACGAUAAUGACGGUACCUAACAAGGAAGCACCGGCUAACUACGUG
This 473-nucleotide ribosomal RNA is filed under the name uncultured bacterium. Its description in RNAcentral is "bacterial SSU rRNA". It matches the Rfam family "Bacterial small subunit ribosomal RNA", at positions 28 to 507 of the family's 1533-position model. The record is from RNAcentral.